Molecule: ribosomal RNA, 301 nt
Filed under: uncultured bacterium
Lineage: Bacteria
Description: partial 16S ribosomal RNA
Rfam family: Bacterial small subunit ribosomal RNA
Source: RNAcentral
CAGCCGCCACGGGAAUACGUAGGUGGCAAGCGUUGUCCGGAAUUAUUGGGCGUAAAAGGCUCGCAGGCGGUUUCUUAAGUCUGAUGUGAAAGCCCCCGGCUCAACCGGGGAGGGUCAUUGGAAACUGGGAAACUUGAGUGCAGAAGAGGAGAGUGGAAUUCCACGUGUAGCGGUGAAAUGCGUUGAGAUCGGAAAGAACACCAACGGCGAAAGCACUCUGCUGGGCCGACACUGACACUGAGAGACGAAAGCUAGGGGAGCAAAUGGGAUUAGAUACCCGGGUAGUCCCUGUCUCUUAUAU